RNAcentral lists this long non-coding RNA (1536 nucleotides) under Bos mutus (wild yak). Its description in RNAcentral is "lncRNA (ENSBMUG00000019339.1)". The record is from RNAcentral. Lineage: Eukaryota; Metazoa; Chordata; Mammalia; Artiodactyla; Bovidae.
GUGCCGGUCAAGGCUUAACAACCAGCUCUUUGUGGGAGGGGCUGGCUGUCAGCGUUUGGUUACUUCGUCGCUAUAAACACUCCCAUCACAGCCAAUUUUAAGCUAUCAGCAAUUUAACAACCAGCUCACAAGAUUUCUGUAUAUUUAACAAAUGGCUCUUGUGAGCUGGGUCCAGGACACAACAAUCCUAAGACUAAGAGAUUCAUAGGCUUAAACUGGGGCUUGUGCAGGGAGGGGCGAUGGAGGAGCACACUGUUCUUCGUAGUGAAGAGGAUGAACUGGGCAGUAAUGGAUGGUCAGCAGUGGUCUCAGAGGAGAGGAAAUCUGUCUGCUCUCAAGAUUUCUACCUUUCUUCCUAGCAUCUGAGAACAGCAAUGUGGCAGAAGGCCUGGGAUUUUUCAGACUUCAGGGCACUCAGUUUUGCCUUUAAUGGAAAACCAACCUGGGUUGUACCAAUGGAAAGAGGUACAAGGUUGACCCUGGCAUCUGGAUACCCAAAGAAGCUGCAUGCAGGGUCUGUUUGGACAAUUCUAUAGAAAUGGUUGAUGUGGAAAGGUGCUGAAUGUCUUGGCCCCUCCAGGACUGCCCAGGUAAUUCUGACACUUUAUCACUACUCCUGGUUCUCACUGACUACACUCAGCAGAAUUCUGAUUUAAUAGUAAUUGCUAUACUUACAUGGGUCCAGGACUGUGCUAAGGUCCUUAGCCUUGCUUGCUAAGGCAUUCUGCCUUGAAAGAUGUUUUCAUCUUGUAGUGUCCUGUAAAACUUUUGUAAAAUAUUAGUUGUGACCUUUUCAUGUGAUACAUCCCCCCCCUAUUAAGAACUACAUUUAUCUUUCUUUAAAAAAAUCCACAGUUCUUCAGCAUGGUUUAUCCCUUUCUGCUACUAGCACUACUUUACACCCAAUCCUUUUUCUUCUAAGAAUACAAGUCCUUCCAUCAGGAGGCCACAUUUUAGCCAGGGCUGGCUCUAGACGAUGUGUGGAUUCUCUACGCAGCCUCUCCCUCUGCUCGAGGAAGUUCCUUAGUUAGAUAGGUACUAUAGGCAGUAGAAGGAAAAAACUAAUUAUGACUUGGUGGAGUCUGGUCUCAGGUAUGCUCAGGUUUGUGCAAGGUCCAUUAUUCCAUGGCUGUUGUCAUUGGGAGGCUACACUUACAGAAAAGUGAUUCUGCACCCAGCACACCAGCCUGACUGUCAAACACAUCUGAAGCACGACAAGAUACAUUUUUUAAGUGCUGACACAGGGUGUGUGAGAGGACACCCAGCUGACUUAAAAGAGUGGGGCAGGGUUGUCUAGGUAAAUAAUCACUGUCAAGUUUGCCAGAUAUGACAGGUAACUCCCUAGAAGAACACCCAGGCCAUUCCUUUCAAAGUCAGGCAGUCAAGAGGCUGCUGAGUUUCCUCAACGCUGGCUACCUACUUGGGUAACAUGACUGCUCAUCAAACAGUCAAUGCUAGCGGGGAACUGUGAGUGCCAUAACAGCCACUGUUGUACCCAGGAGUUCUGUGUCUAUAAAGCUGAGUGGUCCAGAUUUG